This 765-nucleotide long non-coding RNA is filed under the name Canis lupus familiaris (dog). RNAcentral describes it as "lncRNA (ENSCAFG00040002014.1)". Lineage: Eukaryota; Metazoa; Chordata; Mammalia; Carnivora; Canidae. The record is from RNAcentral.
CGGGGCGGGAUGGGCGUGGGCAGCAAGACUGGCGGAGGGAAGAACCGGAGCGCGGGAGUCCGCAGGUGCUGACCUCUGCAGCAGGGCCUGUGCCCCCUAGUCGCCUCGCCUGGGUUCCCGCGGGCGUCUGUGGGUCUCUAAGGCAUCCCUUCCAGGGUGAUACCCUUUUUGUGGGAGUCCAAUCAGAGCGAACCUUUUGGGCGGUAAAUUAUCAUGCUGUGGGCGUGUUUCAAAGAUGAGGUUCCUGAAGCCCUCCAGUGUCUGGAGGCAGCCCUGUCCUUGGCUGUCCUGUGUCCUGGGAGUCCCAGCACUGCGGUCCGCCUGCCUCUGCUCUGCGUGCCGGGCUGCCUGGCUCCCUUUGUGCGCAUCCACUCAGAGACUACAUCUUCUGCCAGACAACUUGUAUCUACAGACGCAGGUAGCAGGCUCUGCAAAGUUCCAGUAACAGAGGGGAAGAGUCACCGCACCGGCCUUUUUCCUGCAGGGGGAAUGCCAGCUCACCUCUCAGUACACGUGGAGGCCUCAUUAACUUUGCUAGCAAGGUUUCUCAAUUUAAGUGAACAUCACGUGUCAACACGGCUCAGAAGCGUGUCGCUAGGUUCCACAUGCCCUGCGAGUCAUCAGCCACCGUGUCAGCCAAGUUGCCACUGUAAGAGCUUGAUUGCUCAUGAAGCUGUUACCAGGAACAACUUCGCUCCUUCUCUCGUAAAGAUCUAUGCCAUUUGCAAAGCUGGAAAACCAGGCUCUAAGACCAACCAAAUGUAA